AGAUAAUCCCCCAGAAUCCAGGACUGAGAAAAAUCCUGCAAAAAAUUGCUGGGUUGAGGGUGAAGAAGUUUCAUCAGUGAGAAUGGUUUACUUAUGCAGGGUGCUCAAAGGACAGCACAGAACAAGUUUUCAGACAAGAAUCGUGCCUCAGGAAUCAUCUCUGCCCAGUUAUCAGAGAUCAUCAGUGUCAAAACCCUGGAAUAUACAGCUUGAAAUAAGGAGCAGUGUAACAGUGUCAUUGUAAACUGUGAUAAGAUUCAUAUUGAGUUUGGCAAGCCGUGUAUCAGAAAGAAAAUCUGAUAGUCAGUUUUAAACUAAACUAGCCAAAUAGAUAUAUGAGCUCAGUUUGAGUCUGGGCCCUGUGUUCAAACCCUGCUAGAGUUCUGCAUUUCUGAAAAUGAAAAUGCUGGAAUUUCCAGAAAACCAUGUGGAAGACACCCAUAGCCCUUCUGCACAAUCUUGUUGACAUACUCUUUCCAUAGUUGAGACUAUUUUGAUUUUUCUUUGACUAUUAAAAAGCUGCU
This 524-nucleotide long non-coding RNA is filed under the name Cyanistes caeruleus (blue tit). RNAcentral describes it as "lncRNA (ENSCCEG00000009513.1)". Lineage: Eukaryota; Metazoa; Chordata; Aves; Passeriformes; Paridae. The record is from RNAcentral.